This 972-nucleotide ribosomal RNA is filed under the name Acidimicrobiaceae bacterium. RNAcentral's name for it is "bacterial SSU rRNA". It matches the Rfam family "Bacterial small subunit ribosomal RNA", at positions 1 to 986 of the family's 1533-position model. The record is from RNAcentral. Lineage: Bacteria; Bacillati; Actinomycetota; Acidimicrobiia; Acidimicrobiales; Acidimicrobiaceae.
UUGACGGAGAGUUUGAUCCUGGCUCAGGACGAACGCUGGCGGCGUGCUUAACACAUGCAAGUCGAACGAGAAGCCGGAGCUUGCUCCGGCGGAAAGUGGCGAACGGGUGAGUAACACGUGAGAAAUCUGUCCUAGAGACCGGGAUAACCAUCGGAAACGAUGGCUAAUACCGGAUACCCUCAUCCAAGCCGCCUGGUCGGAUGAGGAAAUGCUCAGGCGCUCUAGGAGGGUCUCGCGGCCUAUCAGCUAGUUGGUGGGGUAACGGCCUACCAAGGCAUCGACGGGUAGCUGGUCUGAGAGGACGAUCAGCCACACUGGGACUGAGACACGGCCCAGACUCCUACGGGAGGCAGCAGUGGGGAAUAUUGCGCAAUGGGCGAAAGCCUGACGCAGCAACGCCGCGUGAGGGAUGACGGUCUUCGGGUUGUAAACCUCUUUCAGUGAUGACGAAAAUGACGGUAAUCACAGAAGAAGCUCCGGCCAACUACGUGCCAGCAGCCGCGGUAACACGUAGGGAGCGAGCGUUGUCCGGAUUCAUUGGGCGUAAAGAGCUCGUAGGCGGUUUCGUAAGUCAGAUGUGAAAACUCAGGGCUCAACCCUGAGAUGCCAUCUGAUACUGCGAUGACUAGAGUCCGGUAGAGGAGCAUGGAAUUCCUGGUGUAGCGGUGGAAUGCGCAGAUAUCAGGAGGAACACCAACGGCGAAGGCAGUGCUCUGGGCCGGUACUGACGCUGAGGAGCGAAAGCAUGGGGAGCAAACAGGAUUAGAUACCCUGGUAGUCCAUGCCGUAAACGUUGGGCACUAGGUGUGGGACCUUCUAACGGGUUCCGUACCGUAGCUAACGCAUUAAGUGCCCCGCCUGGGGAGUACGGCCGCAAGGCUAAAACUCAAAGGAAUUGACGGGGGCCCGCACAAGCGGCGGAGCAUGUUGCUUAAUUCGAGGCAACGCGAAGAACCUUACCUGGGUUUGACA